UACGUAGGGUCCAAGCGUUAUCCGGAAUUACUGGGCGUAAAGCGUACGCAGAUGGCGUGACAGGUGAGAUGCGAAAUCUUGUGGCUCAACCAUAUAGACUGUGUCUCAAACCGUCGUGCUAGAGGUUGGUAGAGGCAAGCGGAAUUUCUGGUGUAGCAGUGACAUGCGUAGAUAUCAGAAGGAACACCAAUGGCGAAGGCAGCUUGCUGGGCCACACCUGACGUUAAGGUACGAAAGCGUGGGGAGCGAACGGG
RNAcentral lists this ribosomal RNA (254 nucleotides) under uncultured bacterium. Its description in RNAcentral is "partial 16S ribosomal RNA". It matches the Rfam family "Bacterial small subunit ribosomal RNA", at positions 524 to 776 of the family's 1533-position model. The record is from RNAcentral.